CCUAGGUUUUCGUGUCCGUCUUGUAUGAAAUUUUUUUAUAAUUCGUAUUUUUAUUGUUGUUAGAUGAUAAAACAUGAUUAAUACUUUGUGCGUGACUUGUUUUUUUUUAAUUUUUUUCAUAAUUUUUUUCAAAUAAGACGGACGGUCAAACGUUGGGCACGGAAACC
Molecule: microRNA precursor, 167 nt
Filed under: Oryza sativa Indica Group (long-grained rice)
Lineage: Eukaryota; Viridiplantae; Streptophyta; Magnoliopsida; Poales; Poaceae
Description: MIR812 microRNA precursor family
Rfam family: MIR812 microRNA precursor family
Source: Rfam by way of RNAcentral